This 429-nucleotide ribosomal RNA is filed under the name Pseudomonadota bacterium. Its description in RNAcentral is "Proteobacteria bacterium partial 16S ribosomal RNA". It matches the Rfam family "Bacterial small subunit ribosomal RNA", at positions 355 to 776 of the family's 1533-position model. Lineage: Bacteria; Pseudomonadati; Pseudomonadota. The record is from RNAcentral.
UGGGGAAUAUUGGACAAUGGGCGAAAGCCUGAUCCAGCCAUGCCGCGUGUGUGAAGAAGGUCUUCGGAUUGUAAAGCACUUUAAGUUGGGAGGAAGGGCAGUAAGCGAAUACCUUGCUGUUUUGACGUUACCGACAGAAUAAGCACCGGCUAACUCUGUGCCAGCAGCCGCGGUAAUACAGAGGGUGCAAGCGUUAAUCGGAAUUACUGGGCGUAAAGCGCGCGUAGGUGGUUCGUUAAGUUGAAUGUGAAAGCCCCGGGCUCAACCUGGGAACUGCAUCCAAAACUGGCGAGCUAGAGUAGGGCAGAGGGUGGUGGAAUUUCCUGUGUAGCGGUGAAGUGCGUAGAUAUAGGAAGGAACACCAGUGGCGAAGGCGACCACCUGGGCUCAUACUGACACUGAGGUGCGAAAGCGUGGGGAGCAAACAGG